CUUGAGCUAAUACCGUAUGUGCCCUUUGGGGGAAAGAUUUAUCGGUAAAGGAUCGGCCCGCGUUGGAUUAGCUAGUUGGUGGGGUAAAGGCCUACCAAGGCGACGAUCCAUAGCUGGUCUGAGAGGAUGAUCAGCCACAUUGGGACUGAGACACGGCCCAAACUCCUACGGGAGGCAGCAGUGGGGAAUAUUGGACAAUGGGCGCAAGCCUGAUCCAGCCAUGCCGCGUGAGUGAUGAAGGCCCUAGGGUUGUAAAGCUCUUUCACCGAUGAAGAUAAUGACUGUAGUCGGAGAAGAAGCCCCGGCUAACUUCGUGCCAGCAGCCGCGGUAAUACGAAGGGGGCUAGCGUUGUUCGGAAUUACUGGGCGUAAAGCGCACGUAGGCGGAUAUUUAAGUCAGGGGUGAAAUCCCGGGGCUCAACCCUGGAACUGCCUUUGAUACUGGGUAUCUGGAGUAUGGAAGAGGUAAGUGGAAUUCCGAGUGUAGAGGUGAAAUUCGUAGAUAUUCGGAGGAACACCGGUGGCGAAG
This 529-nucleotide ribosomal RNA is filed under the name uncultured bacterium. RNAcentral's name for it is "bacterial SSU rRNA". It matches the Rfam family "Bacterial small subunit ribosomal RNA", at positions 157 to 720 of the family's 1533-position model. The record is from RNAcentral.